Molecule: ribosomal RNA, 537 nt
Filed under: uncultured Lachnospiraceae bacterium
Lineage: Bacteria; Bacillati; Bacillota; Clostridia; Lachnospirales; Lachnospiraceae
Description: bacterial SSU rRNA
Rfam family: Bacterial small subunit ribosomal RNA
Source: RNAcentral
AAGCGCACAGGACCGCAUGGUCCAGUGUGAAAAACUCCGGUGGUAUAAGAUGGACCCGCGUUGGAUUAGCUAGUUGGCAGGGCAGCGGCCUACCAAGGCGACGAUCCAUAGCCGGCCUGAGAGGGUGAACGGCCACAUUGGGACUGAGACACGGCCCAGACUCCUACGGGAGGCAGCAGUGGGGAAUAUUGCACAAUGGGGGAAACCCUGAUGCAGCGACGCCGCGUGAAGGAAGAAGUAUCUCGGUAUGUAAACUUCUAUCAGCAGGGAAGAUAAUGACGGUACCUGACUAAGAAGCCCCGGCUAACUACGUGCCAGCAGCCGCGGUAAUACGUAGGGGGCAAGCGUUAUCCGGAUUUACUGGGUGUAAAGGGAGCGUAGACGGCGCAGCAAGUCUGAUGUGAAAGGCAGGGGCUUAACCCCUGGACUGCAUUGGAAACUGUUGAGCUUGAGUGCCGGAGGGGUAAGCGGAAUUCCUAGUGUAGCGGUGAAAUGCGUAGAUAUUAGGAGGACACCAGUGGCGAAGGCGGCUUACUG